UAGGAAAGUAAGACAUGUUUUAUGGUCC
RNAcentral lists this non-coding RNA (28 nucleotides) under Mus musculus (house mouse). Lineage: Eukaryota; Metazoa; Chordata; Mammalia; Rodentia; Muridae. The record is from RNAcentral.